This 213-nucleotide small RNA is filed under the name Actinotalea ferrariae CF5-4. RNAcentral's name for it is "Cellulomonas sp. Mn5-4 Actinobacteria sRNA Ms_IGR-5". It matches the Rfam family "Actinobacteria sRNA Ms_IGR-5". Lineage: Bacteria; Bacillati; Actinomycetota; Actinomycetes; Micrococcales; Cellulomonadaceae. The record is from Rfam by way of RNAcentral.
ACACGGGAGAGGAGGUGGUCCGACGGUGCAGACAUCCAGGACGCGUGAGGUGACUGUCCGCUAGUCGCCCGAGAACAUCGGACGGAGUGCUUCCGGUCCCGACCCGCCUCGAGCGGCGAGCGAGACCCAGGCAGUCGCCGGAGCCCGUGGGGGUCGUGACCCGUCCAUCACGACACCCUGGUCCCAGACCAGGAGCCCACGGGCUUUCUCCUG